Peromyscus leucopus (white-footed mouse) is the source of this 2470-nucleotide long non-coding RNA. RefSeq lists it as uncharacterized. Lineage: Eukaryota; Metazoa; Chordata; Mammalia; Rodentia; Cricetidae. The transcript has 2 exons. The record is from RefSeq and is a predicted model, not a curated record.
UGGCUGGAAGUGUGGACAUCUUGUGUGCAGAGGGUCCUGACAAGGACUUUCACACAAGGGCAGCCCCGUCCCUCUUAAGUGGUGGAAACUAAAGGAGAGGCUGGGCGUACGGUCAGGAAAGAAGAGAAGGGCAGAGGCUGGGUGAGUCUGGUGUGGAAAGCGAGAGGAUGAGUCACUAACAAUGUCUGGAAGGGUCAGGGAUCUUAGGGCUCGGGGCAUCUGGGAAGUUGGGCCUAGUCCAUGGAGGUAUUUAUUCUUCAGGACUUCGGUGGGACCUACUGAGAAGAUGGGGUGGAGGGAGAAAGACUUUGGGAGAGAGCUCAGCUGCCUCCCAACUUAGUUUCUUCUUUUAGUUCCAUCCCACCCUGCAUCCCACCUUGUACCAGUCACCCUCUGUGGGCUGAGGGACCUAAGCAUUCCGGCUACAGCAAACGCUGGGUCCUGGCCUUAUGGGCCUUUUGAUCUAGUGGGCAAGCUGGACAAAGUUGCUCACCAGGACCCCAGUCUCCAACCCUGGAGGGCAACCCCAAUGGUUCUCCGCACCCCGCUCAUACUCCUGCCGCCAGGCUAAGGAGAGUCGCCAUUCUCGUGCCCAACCUCCUCUGGCUGCUGGAGCCCACUCCUGUGAGGAGGACCUGGCGUGUGGCUUGGGGCUCACGGAGACUUCUUUCCAGAUGCUCUUUCCAAGGCCUGCAGAACUUGCCAUCUGCCGGAGGCCUCUUGGUCCAGCAGCAGCAGCAGCAGCCAGCCGCCAGCCGCCCAGAUGUCUGCCCCCCAGCUCUUGCCCUCUGCUCCCCAGGGCUCUUGAAGUGUCUCUAAUGUUGACUUCUGCCCCCCACCCUGCUCCCAGCCCCUCCCCCACCCCCCGGGCUCUGGCAUCUGCUUUAUCAGGAUUCUCAAGAGGGACAGCUGGUUUAUGUUCCCAGCAUAUCUGCUCUGGUUUAAAAUAGCUUAUGUGGGCAGCUGGAGGACCACAUGAGCUUAUAUGGCGUGGGGUACUUGUUCCUUUCGCCCUGCGCCUGGCACCUGCCAAAAUAGCAGCCAACACCCUCCAUUGUGUCGUCUCCCCCCCCCCCCCAUCUCCCGCUGCACAUUCCUCCCACCGCAGGGCUUGGCUCUCAAGGCCCCAGCCCACAUGCCUGCUUAAAGCUCUCUCCAUGCCCUGCCCUCGGCCAGUCCCUGCCUGAGGCUGAGCAGAUACCCCAGGACCCGUGUGCAGCCCCCGUUCACAGCAGAGGGAGCAGAGUGGGGGACUUGCUGUGCUUGUCCCCAACCAAGCAGACCUGGACCAAUCCCAAGUUGCAGUGACUUCUGAGUCUCAGAACAUCUGGCGAGCGCCAGCUCUCUGGAAACAGCCCAGGCUCUGUGCUGACCAUCAGUUCAAUCUCGCAACACAUUGCCUUUCAUGGAUGUCCAUAGGUGUGUGUGUGUGUGCCUGGCUUGGGGCUCAGCCCUCUUCCCUGCAUUGGGAUAUACAGGGACAGCUGGAGAAGGCAGGGGUGGCACCAUCCAGGUCCCACCCUUCCAUACUGGCAAUCACGUCCCAGGGGGUGGCUUCAGUGCGGCCAGGAAGCAGGGCACAAGGGGAAGCUGUGGGGUGGUCCUGUCAAUCAGCGUGCUUCUGUUGCUCGAGCCCGCCACACUGUGUGCUCCUUCUCCUUUGUAACAGGGGGCAUUGUCCAAAUUUCAGGCAACCUGACAGUGUCCCCACGUUAGGCAGUUAUACGCCUCCUGGAACUGGCUUGUAAUAAUAUGGGUUGAGUUUGUUCUCAGGCCAGGCUCUUUACACUAUCUCCAAUCUGUUCAUUCUGUUGCAUACACCGCAGGGGAGGAGAACUUUCCCAAAGGGAAUUAUGGUGCAGGAAAAUGAAAUGACCUUUCCAAGGUCACACUCAAGGGCACCAGGUGACCCUCGCACUGAGGCCUUGCUCUUUCCACCUCUCCCUGUGGCUUCUUGUGACCAUGAAUGGACAUUAUUACACCUGGCCAUGCCUAGGCGUCCAUUCACUAACAUCUGCUGGAUCCUCAUACAGGCCCUUAUCGAGGGUAUCUGUACUCCCUCCAUCAUUCGGAGAGGGCCGUGGUUCAACUGUGCUCCAAGCACACCCACAUCUCAGCAAACUAACACAGGAGAGUCAGAACCCAGUGCGGUUGCUGCCACAGUUACAGGAAUAAUUCAAUCGGUUUCCCAGGAAAGCUUUAAAGCUGGAACCUUCAUUGAGAUUGUGCGGAUUGAUACUCAAGUCUAAGAAGUAACACAGAAGGGCUGGAGAGAUGGGUCAGCAGUGAAGAGCACAUAUUUAAGGAUCCAGGGUGGAUUCCUGGCUUCCACGUCAGGUGACUCAUAACCACCUGUAACUGAGCUUCGGGGAAUCUGAAUUCCUCUUCUGAACGCCAUAGGCACCCGCCCUCAUAUGUGUACAUCCUCACAUACAGACACACACAAUAAAAAAUAAAAAUAAGUCCCCCC